UGCCGAGAAGACACGCAAAACAAAACCCCAAGACCACAAGGAAACACGAGCGCUAGUGGCAGGUGGCAGCGAGUGAGAAGGUGAGCUCGCCUCCCUCGCGCCUCCCAUUCCCCCCUCGCGCAGUCCUAUCGUAGGAAUGGGAUGAGGCCGGGGCCCCUCCCUCCUUCCUCCUCGGCGCUUCUCCCGUGACAAGCCUCCAUUCUCCAGUCCGUGAGCACUCCACUCCCUGUCUCCGCUUUUGUUUCUCUCGUCCCAACCUCCCCUUUUCUGCGGGUUUGAUCCGCACGGUACAGGAUAGGGGAGGAUGGAUUUGUCCAGGUUCGCCUCCGGCGUCGGGCCCAGCCGCGUGGCCCCGCGGGCGGGCCUGCAGAUCGGCGCCGCCGAGAAUGGCUUCCGGGCCUGCUCCCUGCGGCGAGCACGGCACCGCGGCGGCGGGAACGGGAACCUCACGGCCGCCGCGUCCACCCUCCGCGGCCGCGGCGGGCUCUUCUACCUGGCUCCCACGCGCCGGAGUCAUCCCAGUCUCCGGCUCUUCUACCUGCUUCCCACGCGCGGGAGUCAUCUCAGUCUCCGCGCCAGAUGGCGGCCGCGCUGCCAGGGCAACGACUCAUUGGCCUACGUCGACGGCCCCUUGGAGACCGCUAAGGGCUCCGGCGAGGUCGACGACAACGUGCCCACCAGCUCGGGGUCCGACGACGACAGGGGCCUCGCCGACGUCGACGGCCUCAGGGAGAUGCUGCAGAGGUCCAGGAACGAGCUGGAGGUGGCCAGGGUCAACAGCACCAUGUUCGAGGAGAAGGCGCAGCGGAUAUCCGAGUCGGCCAUCGCGUUCAAGGACCGCGCCGACGGCGCCCAGAGGGAUGUGUGCGCGGCCGUAGCCACCGUGCAGGAGAUCAUCAGCAAGGAGGCGGACGCCAAGGAGGCCGUCCAGAAGGCUACCAUGGCGCUGUCCAUGGCCGAGGCGAGGCUGCAGCUGGCCGCGGAGGCGCUGGAGGCCAACCGGGGCUCGGUAGGCCCGACGGAGGUUAGCAUCGAAGGCAUGGAGCAGGAGGCCCUCCUGUCUGCACAGGAAGAGAUUAAGGAUUGUCGGGCAGCCCUGUCGCGGUGCGCGGAGGAGCUGAGUCGUGUCCAGGACAAGAAAAUGGAGCUGCAGAAGGAGGUUGAUAGGCUGACGGAUCUCGCUGGGAAGGCCCAGAUGGAUGCGUCCAACGCCGAAGAAGAUGUUGCCAAUAUAAUGGUGCUGGCUGAGCAGGCGGUGGCUCUUGAGAUGGAAGCCUCACAGCGUGUCAACGAUGCGGAAAUGGUGCUGCUGAAAGCGGAGAAGGCCAUAGCCUCGAUUGAUACCGUGGUGGAGCUACCGUCACCUGCUGAAGAGCAGAGAAGCACUGAAGAAGACAGCGUUUCUGAAGGGUACGAGUAUAGCAGCGAUGUCACUGAUGAUGUUUAUGUAAGGGAUGAGGUGUCAAGUAUCGAGCGCCUAAUGGUCGGUGACUUGACUGUUCAGGGCUUUGAGCAGCUUGAACCAUCCCGUGAAAUAUAUGAUGAAGAAAGCAGUAAUAAGAUGUCUGUUGAGCCUCAGAAAGAAGCUGAGUCUGAUUCAGAUAAGUCGAAACAAGGGAAGAAGCAAGAAAUGGAACGAAAGGAGCACACCAAGGAACCACUGAGUGCUCCAAAAGCACUGGUGAAGAGAUCAUCCCGUUUCUUCUCGGCAUCUUUCUUCUCCUCCAAAGUUGAUGGAGAGUUUACACCUACAUCUGUCUUCCGAGGGUUAAUGAAAUCAGUGCAAAAACAAGCUCCGAAGCUUGUUGUUGGGAUAUUGCUUCUCGGUGCAGGGGCAUUCUUCUUAAAUAGGGCUGAGAAGAGUCAACUAUUUCAGCAGCAAGGCAUUGCCACAAGUAUUGGAAAGGUAACCUCCACAACAAAGCCCAUAGUUCUUGAGAUACGGCGAAUUCCACAGAGAGUAAAGAAGCUAAUAGAGCUCUUACCUCAUCAAGAGGUAAAUGAGGAAGAAGCUUCACUUUUCGACAUACUAUACUUGCUUCUGGCCAGUGUUAUUUUUGUACCAUUAUUUCAGAAAAUCCCUGGAGGCAGUCCUGUUCUUGGAUAUCUUGCUGCUGGUGUCCUCAUUGGUCCAUAUGGGCUGUCCAUCAUCCGUAAUGUGCAUGAGACAAAGGCAAUUGCGGAAUUUGGAGUUGUGUUCUUACUAUUUAACAUUGGACUUGAGCUUUCUGUGGAAAGACUAAGCUCGAUGAAGAAGUAUGUCUUUGGCUUGGGAUCUGCUCAGGUGCUGGCUACUACUGCUGCUGUUGGUGUGAUAGCUCAUUGUUUUGCCGCACUACCAGGACCAGCAGCAAUUGUUGUUGGGAGUGGCUUGGCUCUGUCAUCCACAGCUGUUGUCUUGCAAGUAUUGCAAGAGCGUGGUGAAAGUACGUCACGUCAUGGACGUGCUACAUUUUCUGUGUUAUUGUUCCAGGAUUUGGCUGUGGUGGUUCUGUUGAUAUUAAUACCUCUCAUAUCACCUAAUUCUUCAAAAGGAGGGGUUGGUUUCCAAGCAAUAGCAGAAGCCAUGGGAAUGGCUGCAGUCAAAGCAGUAGCUGCUAUAACUGCCAUAAUUGCUGGAGGUCGUCUGUUGCUCCGGCCUAUUUACAAACAAAUUGCUGAAAAUCAGAAUGCUGAGAUAUUUUCAGCAAAUACACUCCUUGUUAUUUUUGGCACAAGUCUUCUUACAGCCCGGGCUGGGUUAUCGAUGGCACUUGGAGCUUUUUUAGCUGGUCUGUUACUAGCAGAAACAGAGUUCUCAUUGCAGGUUGAGUCAGAUAUAGCUCCCUAUCGUGGUCUUCUGUUAGGACUUUUCUUUAUGACGGUUGGAAUGUCUAUUGACCCAAAGCUGCUUCUGUCAAACUUCCCAGCGAUCUCUGUGAUAUUGAGUCUCUUGAUAAUUGGAAAGACAUUGUUAGUUACAUUUGUCGGCAGGGUGUUUGGGGUUUCUGCUAUAGCUGCCAUUCGUGUUGGCCUCUUGCUUGCACCUGGUGGUGAGUUUGCUUUUGUUGCCUUUGGAGAAGCUGUCAACCAGGGUCUUCUAUCACCUCAAUUAACAUCGUUGCUAUUUUUAGUCGUUGGCAUUUCAAUGGCUCUGACACCAUGGUUAGCUGCUGGAGGGCAGUUUCUGGCAUCAAAAUUUGAGCAGCAUGAUGUGAGGAGUUUAUUGCCCGUGGAAAGUGAGACUGACGAUUUGCAAGACCAUAUCAUUAUAUUAGGCUUUGGACGUGUUGGGCAGAUCAUUGCACAACUCCUGUCAGAGCGGUUAAUUCCUUUUGUUGCACUUGAUGCUGGAAGUGAUCGGGUUGCAGCUGGGCGUGCACUUGAUCUUCCAGUGUAUUUUGGUGAUUCUGGAAGCAGAGAGGUACUGCACAAAAUUGGAGCUGAAAGAGCUUGUGCUGCUGCAAUUACUUUGGAUACUCCUGGUGCAAACUACAGAGCUGUCUGGGCGUUGAACAAAUAUUUCCCAAAUGUGAAGACAUUUGUUAGAGCACAUGAUGUUGAUCAUGGUGUUAAUUUGGAGAAAGCUGGUGCAACGGCGGUUGUCCCUGAGACCUUGGAGCCAAGUCUUCAGCUAGCUGCUGCUGUCCUUGCACAAGCAAAACUCCCAAUGUCAGAGAUUCAGGAAACCAUCAACGAGUUCCGGAAUCGUCAUCUGUCAGAGCUUACAGAGGUGUGUAAUUACGUCAUCAUUCAGUGAUCUGCUAAACUUACUCAUGAUAUUUACAACAGAAAGCUUCUGGCAAACAAAAGGAUAUGCAGCGAAACAUGGCAAACCAGAUUUCUUAAUGGUAGUAAUUCAAAGAUAGCUGGUGUAGAAUCUUUGUGUGCUACGUCAGGAAGUUCUCUUGGCUAUGGAUUUUCCAGAGCUACGUCCAAAUCGAAGUCUUUCACCUCCGACGACGAAAACCAAACAGUGGAUGGCACACUAGCAAUCUGAUGCUGAUGAGAUAAAAUGGGAUCCCCUUGCUAGCGCUAGAUUGGUUGCAUUGUUCAGUAGAUAAUCCUGUUUCAUGUGGAAGGAGGGUGGAAUAAUUAUUCAUAUAAGAGCUGUCAUAAAAGUUGGCGUCCAUUUUUGUAUGUUAGACACUUAGUGCUUGUUUGAGAGUAAUGGAAGGGACUGAGAGGGCCAAAAUCCUUUAGGCCCCGUUUGUUUCCUUUUAUUUUGAGGAAUUGGAAUCUUACUAUUGGAAUAGGCUAUUUUUUUAAAAUGUGACAUUCCACCACUUUCCAAAGUUAUCAUAUAAGCCUAUCUCAAAUUAUUCAUAGGAUGAGAUAUGUAAUUUGAUUC
Molecule: RNA transcript, 4330 nt
Organism: Zea mays
Lineage: Eukaryota; Viridiplantae; Streptophyta; Magnoliopsida; Poales; Poaceae
Exons: 20
Source: RefSeq, marked validated